Hortaea werneckii EXF-2000 is the source of this 105-nucleotide non-coding RNA. The record is from Rfam. NCBI's taxonomy places the organism in Eukaryota, Fungi, Ascomycota, Dothideomycetes, Mycosphaerellales, Teratosphaeriaceae.
UUAUAAGAUGAUAUAAUUUGCGACUGAUGGUGCAGACCGGAGAUUCACGCCUGUUUCUCAUAACGGCUGCGCCAGUCUGAUCUUUACUUCUUACAUAUUCUGACU